Molecule: long non-coding RNA, 442 nt
Organism: Malaclemys terrapin pileata
Lineage: Eukaryota; Metazoa; Chordata; Testudines; Emydidae
Exons: 3
Source: RefSeq, a predicted model, not a curated record
GUUCGCUCUCGGGACUGAGAGGGACCAGACAUCAAUCCAGGUUCUCCACAUCUUUCUAAACAAGUCUCUCCUAUUUCAAACUUGUAUUAGAACAACUACACAGGAAGGCUGGAAUAAAUUGUGUACCAACUGUAAACCCUGUAUAUGAUGGAAACCACUUCAAGUCAGCACCCUGCAACUACAGUGUGCACUUAAGACCAGCAUCACAAAGUCCAAGUGGUACCUUUAUCAUGCAGCAGCAUAUGUUGAGAUAGAAGACAAGCACAGAUGCACCAAGAAUUAUACCUGGACCAGCACUCCCAACAGAAAAAGCAGACAUCUGAUCUUUGUAUGUAAAAGCACACACAAAUCCAAUAUAAUAAAAUAAAUUAAAUUGCAAACAGGGGCCUGAUCUUGCAAACAUUUAAGCAUGUGAUUAACAUUAAGCAUGUGAGUAGCACCA